UAGGGAAUCUUCCGCAAUGGACGCAAGUCUGACGGAGCAACGCCGCGUGAGUGAAGAAGGAUUUCGGUUCGUAAAACUCUGUUGUUAGAGAAGAACAGCGCAUAGAGUAACUGUUAUGCGUGUGACGGUAUCUAACCAGAAAGCCACGGCUAACUACGUGCCAGCAGCCGCGGUAAUACGUAGGUGGCAAGCGUUGUCCGGAUUUAUUGGGCGUAAAGCGAGCGCAGGCGGUCAAUUAAGUCUGAUGUGAAAGCCCCCGGCUCAACCGGGGAGGGUCAUUGGAAACUGGUUGACUUGAGUGCAGAAUAGGAGAGUGGAAUUCCAUGUGUAGCGGUGAAAUGCGUAGUUAUAUGGAGGAACACCAGUGGCGAAGGCGACUCUCUGGUCUGUAACUGACGCUGAGGCUCGAAAGCGUGGGUAGCAAACAGG
Molecule: ribosomal RNA, 429 nt
Filed under: Bacteroidota bacterium
Lineage: Bacteria; Pseudomonadati; Bacteroidota
Description: Bacteroidetes bacterium partial 16S ribosomal RNA
Rfam family: Bacterial small subunit ribosomal RNA
Source: RNAcentral